RNAcentral lists this ribosomal RNA (500 nucleotides) under Polyphysia crassa. RNAcentral's name for it is "partial 16S ribosomal RNA". It matches the Rfam family "Bacterial large subunit ribosomal RNA", at positions 1803 to 2580 of the family's 2925-position model. The record is from RNAcentral. Lineage: Eukaryota; Metazoa; Annelida; Polychaeta; Scalibregmatidae.
UUUAACAAAAACAUUGCCUACUGAAAGAUAUACUAGGUACGCCCUGCCCAGUGACAACCUGUUCAACGGCCGCGGUAUCCUGACCGUGCAAAGGUAGCAUAAUCAUUCGCCCCCUAAUUAGGGGAUUGUAUGAACGGGUAAACGAAAAAGACACUGUCUCUUUUAUGCCACUAAAAAUUAACCUUCAGGUGAAGAGGCCUGAAUAAAAAUAAAGGACAAAAAGACCCUAUUGAGCUUUAUUUUAUAAGCCCCAUAUCCCAUUAUCUAUUAAGGUAUAAUAUGCUUCAUAAAUUUGGUUGGGGCGACCGAGGAAAUUUCUUCUCUUCCUUUACCCUCCCGACACCACGUCAUAUAAAAGAGCCGUUAUACGACCCUUGAAUUAAGCUACCAUAGGGAUAACAGGCUAAUCCUUCUUGAGAGCCCACAUUGACAGAAGGGCUUGGCACCUCGAUGUUGGCUUAAGACACCCCUUGAGCGUAGAAGCCUAAAAGGUAGGUUGU